RNA transcript from Gorilla gorilla gorilla (western lowland gorilla), 814 nucleotides. RefSeq lists it as uncharacterized. The record is from RefSeq and is a predicted model, not a curated record. NCBI's taxonomy places the organism in Eukaryota, Metazoa, Chordata, Mammalia, Primates, Hominidae. The transcript is spliced from 5 exons.
UUCCACAUAGUUCCUCCCUUCCUGCCCACCCCCAUCAGGAGCUGUUUAUUUCUCAGAACUAAAUGCCACGAUCCUUCUCAGCUACCUUGGCAGCAUUCUGUCAGAAACCAGUCAACAAACAGAGCAGGGAAAAACAGCACCCCGAAGACAGCAUUCAGGACCCAGCCCUUUAGACAAAAGGGAUCAGAUCAGGUCUACUAGACGGCUCCAUUCAGUCAAACACACCCAGUUAAGCAGCCCUGGAAAGGGACUCUAGAGAAUGCUAGAAGUACUGUGAAGCUCGCAGAUGGCCUUGUGGACUUUAGCACUUCAGGUGAGAUGAGAACACUGAUGCACAGAGAUUAUACCAGCUGGGCUAGCGAGUGACCGGGGGAAGCCUCCAGAUCCAUGCACACAACCGCCAGGUUUAUGACACCUCUAGAAAUGUGGCCAGUGCCCCUGGGGUCUAUCAGCAUCUCUUGCUAGACCAGCAGAGCCCUAAAAAAGGAGAUUGAUGAACUCGAGACCAGAGAAACCCUCAGGUGGGAGCCAGCAGCAACUGGAGAGCCCAGCAGGCAGGAGAAGAGGGCAGCCAAUUCUGCCAUCUGCCCUGGGUACCCCGAGAAGGAGGAGGCAUGGAAGACAACAGUCUCCCAGCAAAAUGUUGCAAGCAGCACAGGCUCAGGAAUGGACAGACUGGCAGACGCAGCAAGAAGGCAGCAGUCUGCACACCAGGAGGAGAGUCCUCACCAGAACCCAGCCCUGCCACACCCUGAUCCUGGACUUUCAGCCUCCAGAGCUGUGAGAAAUAAAUGCCUGUUGUUUCAGCAGCUCA